RNAcentral lists this ribosomal RNA (425 nucleotides) under uncultured bacterium. Its description in RNAcentral is "partial 16S ribosomal RNA". It matches the Rfam family "Bacterial small subunit ribosomal RNA", at positions 354 to 796 of the family's 1533-position model. The record is from RNAcentral.
GUGGGGAAUAUUGGGCAAUGGGCGAAAGCCUGACCCAGCAACGCCGCGUGAAGGAAGAAGGUCUUCGGAUCGUAAACUUCUAUCCUUGGUGAAGAUAAUGACGGUAGCCGAGAAGGAAGCCCCGGCUAACUACGUGCCAGCAGCCGCGGUAAUACGUAGGGGGCAAGCGUUGUCCGGAAUGAUUGGGCGUAAAGGGCGCGUAGGCGGCCUGGUAAGUCUGGAGUGAAAGUCCUGCUUUUAAGGUGGGAAUUGCUUUGGAUACUGUCGGGCGUGAGUGCAGGAGAGGUAGGUGGAAUUCCCGGUGUAGCGGUGAAAUGCGUAUAGAGCGGGAGGAACACCAGUGGCGAAGGCGACUUACUGGACUGUAACUGACGCUGAGGCGCGAAAGUGUGGGGAGCAAACAGGAUUAGAAACCCGAGUAGUCC